AUUGAACGCUGGCGGCAGGCCUAACACAUGCAAGUCGAACGGUAGCACAGAGAGCUUGCUCUCGGGUGACGAGUGGCGGACGGGUGAGUAAUGUCUGGGAAACUGCCCGAUGGAGGGGGAUAACUACUGGAAACGGUAACUAAUACCGCAUAAUGUCGCAAGACCAGAGAGGGGGACCUUCGGGCCUCUUGCCGUCGGAUGUGCCCAGAUGGGAUUAGCUUGUUGGUGAGGUAAUGGCUCACCAAGGCGACGAUCCCUAGCUGGUCUGAGAGGAUGACCAGCCACACUGGAACUGAGACACGGUCCAGACUCCUACGGGAGGCAGCAGUGGGGAAUAUUGCACAAUGGGCGCAAGCCUGAUGCAGCCAUGCCGCGUGUGUGAAGAAGGCCUUCGGGUUGUAAAGCACUUUCAGCGGGGAGGAAGGCAAUGCGGUUAAUAACCGUGUUGAUUGACGUUACCCGCAGAAGAAGCACCGGCUAACUCCGUG
RNAcentral lists this ribosomal RNA (488 nucleotides) under uncultured bacterium. RNAcentral describes it as "partial 16S ribosomal RNA". It matches the Rfam family "Bacterial small subunit ribosomal RNA", at positions 30 to 507 of the family's 1533-position model. The record is from RNAcentral.